UGGGCAGUUUGUCCAUCUCGGGGGCCCUGAGAGGCACCACCUCCUCCAGUCCCUGCAGACAGGCGGUUGUGAGAACCCGAGAGUUCACCAGCCCCACCGCAGACCCACAAAGAAGCCAUCCCAGCCCUGCCCUCAGGCAGUGGGUGGGGGGUUCAGCUCUGUAAGGAACGUGACUGGUCUGCGUUAACAAUUCUAAGAGAGGAGCCAGGAGGAGUUCUGAGGCUGAGAUCAUGUUUAACCACGCUUGAGUUUCUGUGGGUCCAGAGUCUGACGUGUCUUAGCUGGGUCCUCUGCUCCAAACCUCCGAAGGCAGCAGAGAAGGUGGCCACUGGGCUGCAUCCUCAUCUGGAGGCUCAAGUCGGGGGAAGUCCUUCUCCGAACUCACUGAGCUUCAUAAUCAGCCUCAGCCUUACUGCGAAUGCUUUGACAUCCACUCUCCAGGGGAAGAGAAGGCCCAGGGAGCAGUCUGAUCCAGGUGCUGCCAGGAUGUUGGCACAGCUGGGGACACCCAGGCAUUCUAUUUGUGUGAGGGCUCACCAGGCCUCCAGGGAUACAACCUGGUAAUGACUUCAGAACUGACAGGUAGGCCCUGAUAAACCAGGACUCACACUUUUGAAUUAAAAACAGAGAUUUUAAUCUGUGCAUCCCAGAGGCUGUCUGGGUCUUACUCUGUGGAAAAAGAGACUUGCGGUCUUUGGUCUCUGGAGCUGGGUGACAGUGGCAAUGAGGGGUAGCUGGGGCAACUGAGAUGGAAUAGGAGUCAGGCAACUUCCACUGUAACGGGCAGAUAGUAAACAUUUGGGGCUUUGCAGGGAAAAUAACCUGUAAAUCAAUGAGUGGGGCUGUGUUCAAA
Odocoileus virginianus texanus is the source of this 853-nucleotide non-coding RNA. Lineage: Eukaryota; Metazoa; Chordata; Mammalia; Artiodactyla; Cervidae. The record is from RefSeq and is a predicted model, not a curated record.